GAAAAUCCAACAUUUUGUUGGAUAAUCCCACUAACUCUUAGUGGGAUAUGUGGCUAUAUGAGAUAUAGACACCUAGCCCACUAAGUUCCACUAAUUGUUAGUGGAAUAUUAGGUGUUGAGAUUUGGCAAAUGAAUUGCAUGCAUUUUUGCAUGUAAUUAGGCUAUAAAUAGAGAUGUUUUCAAAUGUUGAAGGACUUUUGCCUCUUUUAUCAUUUUCAUAAUCUCAACAAAAGAAAAAAGAAAGCUUCCAAUCUCAUUUUAUCUCCAUUACUUUCUACACCAAAAUUGGGUCCCACAACCCGGUUCUUUGUCUAGAGGAUAGCAGUUGAGUACUAGUGGUGGUCUCGGGUAGAAUUGGUAAGAAGACAUCAAACCUUUUGAAAGCUUCAAAGGUAAUACUUCUUAAAACCCUAAUUUGAUUAGUUUAUGGUUACAUGUUAAUUGUGGCAAUUAGGGUAGAAAUUCGAUUCUUUUUCCGCUGUGCAUGACUUAGUUCUAUCAAAUCCGAACGCCUGAUUCUUAUCGAGAGAAGGGAUCAAGCACUGAUUGCCAACUACUCGAGAGAAUAAGUAGACAAUACCUCACUAAACACACGCAAAAAGGAGUUUAGAAACAAACUUCAUUAUAGCGUUGUGCCUUCAUCGAUCAUUUAUGUCCCGAAAGGAGAACAAGUGUAGCGUUUAGGUACCAAAAUGGUUGCUCGCCUUAAUUAGAGAGAAAAUGUGAUGCUUAUAAGUAAGGAAAUCUAUAUAUAUAUCGUAUAGCUCAUUUUCAUCAUUAUUUGUGUCAUGAAAGGAGAAUAAGUGUGGUGUUUAGGCACCGAAAGGUUACUCGCCUUAAUUAUAAGAUGGUUAAAUGAUAUUUAUUGCAUCAAAGUAUCCUACAUUGCUUAAAUCACUUAAAAAGCGUAGACGUUCUACACAUUUCUUUAAUGCAAAUGAGUUCUCAUUCCAUGAUCACUUCAUUCCAUUCCACAUUCUACAUAAGCUCUUAAUGUAAAUAAUAGGAUUAGAAUGCAUUUACGUUUAUAUUGUACUAGAUUUAUACCACUUGAAAUUAGAACUAGGCGUUAUAGCUAAGAUUGAUAAGAAAUUUCCUUUGUUCGACCCUAGCUUACCCAGGAAACCUCUCGUUUUUUCUUACACUUGGAAAAACAAGAGUAAAACUUGUACUUAACGUAGACUCAGUAGAAGUAGCAACAUAUAAGUAGGAUUUGCACCUUUUAUAGCAUGAUCAUCACCUAAAGGCAUAGUUAGCAUCUUUUAUCGCAUAACCUUGUCUCCUCGCGUUACAAGUCGCAGAAAUAGAACUUUAAAUAACAAACUGAUAAAAUUAUUAUUAAGCAGACAAAGAGCGUGGCAACCAACUCGUGUACUCUAUCUCGCAUGCGAUCUGCAGAGAGAAUAGAGAUCUAAAAAAUAACACUUCAAGUUUUUAACAUCGUUGUUGGUAAACUUGUUCAUCAAACUAGAUAUAAUGUUUUACUUUGAUUUCAGACAAAUGCUCAAUUUGUGUUGAAUCAAAGAACGUUUUUACGAGUUUACAAGCACUUGAGACAUUUGCAAGUCUAGACUUGACCUAGAAAUUGAGUACAUCUUUCGACGAGAACGUGAGGAACCUUGAAGCAUUUCAACUAAAGCAAGACAAGGAAGGUCCAUCAAACCCUUGGAGGGAAGAAUUCAACCUCUUAUGUGGAGGAUAUUCAUUAAGGCAUCACCAAAAAGGUAUGCACAAUAGACGUAGUGAAACACUUGAUCAUCACUAGCUAUGCGAAGAGUGGACCAAACGAUCAUUUGCAGCAUGGGAGAAACGUGUCAAACUCCUAUAUGGAGAACAUUUCGAAGAAUGGACAUGUAAUCAAUUAUUCAAAUUGUAUAAUGUUGUAGAACUAAAAAAUGAUUGAAAGUGUUUUGAAAUAAGCAACAUGUUUAGGAUGACUACAUGAGACAUUGUUGCAACAAAGCCCCAGCAUACAUCCAUUGUCAGAAACUUUAACACACGGAUGCUUUUGUAACGUAUCAAUUUCCCUAACCAUUUCACAAAAUACAUCAUUUUUGUAUUUACUAUUUUACUUUAUCGUUUUCUUUUAAUUACAUCUUUUAUCGUUUUCUUUAUUACUAUUUAAAUUAGGAAUUCUUUACCAUGUUGGGGAAAGGUCUUUAAGCUUCUUUGCACACAAGUUAGGAGAAAAGAAAAUGUGGGAUACACGAUAAGACCAUUGAGCGAGCUAGAAAAACUGUCAUAACGCGUCAAGCGCUAAAAGCAUCUCACGAAGCUUAUCGGGUAGCAACAUGGGCUUUUUAGAGUUUACGAUUUCAGAGUGUCUGAUUUAAAAUUCUAGAAGGAGGAAAUGAUGAGUUGCCACGAAAAUAAAAAAGGACGAUAUCAUACAUCACAUCGUAAAACACAAUAAUUCUAACCUGUGCGAUAACCCUUUUUUUAAUCAUAGUUAAGCCAUUUUAUAAACCCUCAUUUUCUUUGUGAGACUCGUACCUAAAAUAGAAAGGCCAAAAUUUGACUGAAGUGUUUGAAGAAAAUGUUUUGAGUAGAGGGUUGAGAUAAAAAGUUGGCGUUUGAGUUAUUUCACGACGAAGUAAGAUAACACGAUAAGACAUUCGGUGUUUAAGGACCAUUAGACGUUUGGAGUUCAUUACAGAAUGGAGUCAUGCGAGGAAACAUUUAAUUUUGAUUUGACAGGGGUUUACGUGUAAGGUUAAGAGCUAGGCAUGGUUAAAUUAAACAUAAAACUUACAUGUGAACUACUAAGAGUAGAAGUUGGCAAGUUAUUAAGAGAGUAAGGAUUACUAAUCCAAUUUGAGAAUUAGUAUAGAUAGAGGAGUAAAGACAGACAGGGGAAAAUGUUUAAUUUAUUUAAGUAUUACUCUCCUGAGAAGAAGAGCCAUUAGGCGAGAAGAAAAGUCUGAAGCUAGCCAAGGGGAAACUAAGUUUGUGAGUGAAUUUCUAAAAGUGUUUGUAUAUUUAAAAGUUUUCUUUGAAUUUCAUAAUGUUUUCAAAAGGGCGACAUGGAGCCUUGCCAUUCAUUUUAAAAAAUGACUUUGUACACUCAUAAACAAUCCAAGAUGUUGCUUGCCUGUGAUCAUUUUUAACAAUGUCAACGGCACAC
This 3124-nucleotide long non-coding RNA is filed under the name Cucumis sativus (cucumber). Its description in RNAcentral is "long non-coding RNA (CSAT_LNC001991)". Lineage: Eukaryota; Viridiplantae; Streptophyta; Magnoliopsida; Cucurbitales; Cucurbitaceae. The record is from RNAcentral.